GAGAGGGGCCAGGGACUUGCAUGGACAAUUAGAAUGUCACGUGCUACCUCCACUCACCUUUCACUUGCCUGAGCAGAUCACAAGGCAUCAGCUCAUUUCACAAGAUGGUGAAGUAACAACAGUUUUACCACGUUUCAGAAAGAGGAAUGCUCAGAAAUUGUUGACAGAGCUUCGGUGCCUACCAGAGAUGACAGACAGUUCAAAAGGUGAUGGGAUCAAAGGACUGGAGUGCUCCCGGGGCUGUGGGAUUUCUCCGCUGGGAAAGGUAGAGAGUGCUGUACCUUGGAGGCACAGCUAGAGUGGGUGAAGGGGCUUGAAGUAGAGUUUCCAAAGCUACUGGAGAUACCAAAGGGAAGACAUGACCAUGUGUGUGGACACUGGAGGGACCUUCUGCCUGCCCGUCUGCUGCCUGAAGACCUCUUCCACCUAGGAAGCAGACAACGCUCACCAGUGCUCACCAAGACGACGUUCAUCUGUAUGAGCCUCACAUCUGCACGAACAUGUGUCUGACAGGAAAUGGAUAUCGGGGCAUGCUGUGCUCCAGCAACCGUAAUAGGGCAGAAUUAACCUCUGUGUAAGGAAACCCUUCCCCAGCCAGGGGAUGGAGAUUAAUAAGCUGAAGGCUUACCUUUGUGAGACUUGCCUAAGCCCAACAUGGAAACCCCUCUUCCGAGUAAGAGCCUGCCAUACACCAGUAAGUGGAAU
Molecule: long non-coding RNA, 705 nt
Filed under: Chinchilla lanigera (long-tailed chinchilla)
Lineage: Eukaryota; Metazoa; Chordata; Mammalia; Rodentia; Chinchillidae
Description: lncRNA (ENSCLAG00000028068.1)
Source: RNAcentral